AGGAAUUAGAAGAUUGUUAGCAAUCAGGUGGACUGUUUUUUUAAACUCUGAGUGAAUGUCUGGUGAAAGUGUGAGUGUGAAGGGAGAGGGCCUGCCCUCUCUUAUCCUUUGUGUGGCUCCACGACUUUGGUUACAUAGUCCAAGUGGGCCCCAACCUGCAGUUUUGUGAUUUGUCAUAUGGCAUAACAGUGACUCACCCCCACGUGGAGGUGACCAGGCCCGGGGUUUAUAUGGGUGCACCUUAGCUAAGACAAAUCUAAGCUCCCAAAGGACAUGGCCAGGCAGGCACCUGAGUGAGGAUCUGUG
Long non-coding RNA from Pipistrellus kuhlii (Kuhl's pipistrelle), 306 nucleotides. RefSeq lists it as uncharacterized. The transcript is spliced from 3 exons. The record is from RefSeq and is a predicted model, not a curated record. Lineage: Eukaryota; Metazoa; Chordata; Mammalia; Chiroptera; Vespertilionidae.